Molecule: non-coding RNA, 1321 nt
Organism: Python bivittatus (Burmese python)
Lineage: Eukaryota; Metazoa; Chordata; Lepidosauria; Squamata; Pythonidae
Source: RefSeq, a predicted model, not a curated record
GGAAGGAAGGAAGGAAGGAAGGAAGGAAGGAAAGCAAGCAAGCAAGCAAGCAAGCCACAGCCAGUCUUCCCUUUGCAUCUGUGCCCCGCCUGCUGAAGUUUUUGGUUUCCCCAAAUCCACUCUUCCUCUAGAUUUGCCCUCCUUUUUAAAAUACGCACAGAUUUACUAGAUUUGGCAGCUGGUAAAUCCAAAGCAGCUAAAGCCCCUCCUGAGGAUUUCCGUUUCUGUAUUUCAUUAGCCCUUUAAUUUAUUUUUUGUAAGCUUUUUUUUAAUUUAGAAAAUGAACCGCUUAGGAAACUGACAUGCUGGAAGGCUUCGCCCCUGCUUUUUUCUCUCCAAGGAUGCUCCCUUAGAAGAGCCACAACAGCAAGCAUCGUUGCAAGUCAGUGCUGGGUUAGAAAAAGUGUUCAUCCACCUCGAAAAUGUGGAAGGAAAGUAGGAAUAACCUUUGGGGGUGGACGACUGAGGGACCGGCUGUUUCCAGAUGUGGGCAGGUUUGGGGAUGGAUGUACUCCAUAUGGUGGUCAUUUCCUCCGAACACUCAACUCCCAGAUGUGGCCACCAGUACCGAAUCAUUGGGGACCCAUGAGUUGAGAAACACCGAGUUAGAUUAUUGUGAAUACAGGCCAUUUCCUCACAGUGAUUUACAGUGUUUUACAACAUCUCUACUCAUUGCGCAGAUAUUAUGCAAGACUAUCUUCAUUGCAGCAACAGCUGGAUGUCAAUACUUCCUUCUACGGCAAGGUCACUCUCAAGUUGGGCUCGUGACUAUUAGAACACAUCUGUGUUCUUUCUAUGGAGAUAGAAUUGAGAUCCCAUGUCCAUAAUCUAUUGCCCUGGAAUAUUCUGGGCGUCUCCCAUCCAAGUAUUAACCCGGUCCAACUCUGCUUAGCUUUUCUGGGGUCAGCCGCUAUCUGCUAUGACCGGUUGAUGCUAUAAAUGGCUGGUGAGCAAAUGGCUGUAGGAAAUAUGAUAUAAGGGCAUCUUCUUGAUGGGUCUAUCACAGCUGGGCAGAAUUUUAGGAAAAGGAUACUGCUCCCCUGAUGAGGCAAAUGGCCUUUCUCAGCCAAUGUUUCCUAGAUCAAUGAGGUCCAGACUUUGUGUUCAGGUGAAAUGUUAUCUACUUAGAAGGUUGUCUGAAGGUCUUCAUUGAAAGAGCAGGAUGGACUUCAGACAGACACCCGUUGUAAACUGAAAUGCAAAAUUGAUGUUAGCAUCAGUUGAGAGUCCUUGAGCAUCUAAAUGCAGGCCAGCCGUUUAAACUUAUUUUUAGUUGUCUGACACAGGAAUUGUGUCAUAUGUGCACUAAAGUUAUCAAGAU